RNAcentral lists this transfer RNA (76 nucleotides) under Propionibacteriaceae bacterium ES.041. RNAcentral's name for it is "tRNA-Arg". It matches the Rfam family "tRNA". From Rfam's summary of the family: Transfer RNA (tRNA) molecules are approximately 80 nucleotides in length. Their secondary structure includes four short double-helical elements and three loops (D, anti-codon, and T loops). Further hydrogen bonds mediate the characteristic L-shaped molecular structure. tRNAs have two regions of fundamental functional importance: the anti-codon, which is responsible for specific mRNA codon recognition, and the 3' end, to which the tRNAs corresponding amino acid is attached (by aminoacyl-tRNA synthetases). tRNAs cope with the degeneracy of the genetic code in two manners: having more than one tRNA (with a specific anti-codon) for a particular amino acid; and 'wobble' base-pairing, i.e. permitting non-standard base-pairing at the 3rd anti-codon position. RNAcentral also lists the same sequence under 1 other name. Lineage: Bacteria; Bacillati; Actinomycetota; Actinomycetes; Propionibacteriales; Propionibacteriaceae. The record is from RNAcentral.
GCCCCGAUAGCUCAGCGGAUAGAGCAGCAGCCUUCUAAUCUGACGGUCGUAGGUUCGAGUCCUACUCGGGGCGCCC